Molecule: unclassified non-coding RNA, 328 nt
Filed under: soil metagenome
Description: partial contains 5.8S ribosomal RNA, internal transcribed spacer 2, and large subunit ribosomal RNA
Rfam family: 5.8S ribosomal RNA (bases 3-119)
Source: RNAcentral
GAGAAGAACGUAGCGAAAUGCGAUAAGUAAUGUGAAUUGCAGAAUUCAGUGAAUCAUCGAAUCUUUGAACGCACAUUGCGCCCCUUGGUAUUCUGAGGGGCAUGCCUGUUCGAGCGUCAUUAUAACCCCUCAAGCUCAGCUUGGUGUUGGGGCCUGCUGCACUGGCAGCCCUUAAAAUCAGUGGCGGCGCCAUCUGGCUCUAAGCGUAGUAAUUCUUCUCGCUAUGGAGUCCUGGUGGAUGCUUGCCAUCAACCCCCAAUUUUUCUAUGGUUGACCUCGGAUCAGGUAGGGAUACCCGCUGAACUUAAGCAUAUCAAUAAGCGGAGGA